Neopsephotus bourkii (Bourke's parrot) is the source of this 477-nucleotide long non-coding RNA. RefSeq lists it as uncharacterized. The record is from RefSeq and is a predicted model, not a curated record. NCBI's taxonomy places the organism in Eukaryota, Metazoa, Chordata, Aves, Psittaciformes, Psittacidae. The transcript is spliced from 4 exons.
CUAAAUCAUAAGGAAGGUUGUGUAGAAAGCAGCCAAAGAGUAACCUGAUGCUGGUAUAGAUGACUAAAAAGAAAACAUGAAGAAGUAGGUCCCUGUGAAGAUCUUUUCAAGGUGUGAAGCCUAACCUCCACACAGAAAUUAGUGGAUCACUGCCCAGCGAGAAAAGACAGACCAAACAGACCUCUGCCAGGGAUGUUGGGCUCAUCUGAAACAACAAAGAUCAUAAAACACAAGACAAAGCUCUGAGCCCAGAGCCUGCCACAGGCCACCUCGCACCCCAAGGCCAGCAGCAGUCCUUGGCCCUGCUGUGCCCAUGCUGUCUGUCUGCCUUGCUCCUGUGGAAGGAGGAGGCAUUAUCAGAAGUAAUGCUCAUGACUCUGCUUUCCUAGUGGAAUAGCCGAGCUGCAUCGUGCUCGCCCCACCGAGCACACAUCGGGAGAGACAGAACACAAACGGACACCCCUCUCUCCGUUCUCU